This is a long non-coding RNA of Gambusia affinis (western mosquitofish), 234 nucleotides long. RefSeq lists it as uncharacterized. Lineage: Eukaryota; Metazoa; Chordata; Actinopteri; Cyprinodontiformes; Poeciliidae. The record is from RefSeq and is a predicted model, not a curated record. The transcript is spliced from 2 exons.
GAAAAACGGCUGUGUUUACGGUGGUUACCAUGAGAACGACUUCCCAGAAACCUUUGCCGCAUUCCAUCAUUCCAACAUCAUCAGAUGAGCUGUUGGUGGUGAGGCAUCUUCAAAAAGAAAAAAAAAAAAACAGAUUAAAUGAAAUUCCUCUGUGCUUUUGAGAGCCUUUUCCAAUAAAUACAAAAACACCUUAAACUCCCUUAAUUUUCAGCUAAAUAAACAUCUCCAAAAGCA